Molecule: ribosomal RNA, 484 nt
Filed under: Klebsiella pneumoniae
Lineage: Bacteria; Pseudomonadati; Pseudomonadota; Gammaproteobacteria; Enterobacterales; Enterobacteriaceae
Also listed under: 1 other name
Description: partial 23S ribosomal RNA
Rfam family: Bacterial large subunit ribosomal RNA
Source: RNAcentral
GCUGUGAGGCAUGCUGGAGGUAUCAGAAGUGCGAAUGCUGACAUAAGUAACGAUAAAGCGGGUGAAAAGCCCGCUCGCCGGAAGACCAAGGGUUCCUGUCCAACGUUAAUCGGGGCAGGGUGAGUCGACCCCUAAGGCGAGGCCGAAAGGCGUAGUCGAUGGGAAACAGGUUAAUAUUCCUGUACUUGGUGUUACUGCGAAGGGGGGACGGAGAAGGCUAUGUUAGCCGGGCGACGGUUGUCCCGGUUUAAGCAUGUAGGCUGGUUGUCCAGGCAAAUCCGGAUAAUCAAGGCUGAGGUGUGAUGACGAGGCACUACGGUGCUGAAGUAACAAAUGCCCUGCUUCCAGGAAAAGCCUCUAAGCAUCAGGUAACAUCAAAUCGUACCCCAAACCGACACAGGUGGUCAGGUAGAGAAUACCAAGGCGCUUGAGAGAACUCGGGUGAAGGAACUAGGCAAAAUGGUGCCGUAACUUCGGGAGAAGG